This 225-nucleotide long non-coding RNA is filed under the name Elaeis guineensis (African oil palm). RNAcentral's name for it is "long non-coding RNA (EGUI_LNC036446)". Lineage: Eukaryota; Viridiplantae; Streptophyta; Magnoliopsida; Arecales; Arecaceae. The record is from RNAcentral.
CUCCCUUAUGAGCAGAUGAGUCUUAGAUCUGUGGUGUAGAGACACUAGGAUGAAGGUGCAGAUGGUUGUUAGAGAAUAACUUGCACUGAGCAUAAUCAAUACGAGAACCACAUGGAUGUCUACUCACUCGUCAGUAGUCUUCUAGAUGCUGCAGUAGUGUGAGUAAUCUUUUGACCUGCGGUAUCAUUAGCUAUUCGCAGCGAAGUUAUUGGAUUUGACUGUAUG